Molecule: transfer RNA, 91 nt
Filed under: Betaproteobacteria bacterium TMED82
Lineage: Bacteria; Pseudomonadati; Pseudomonadota; Betaproteobacteria
Description: tRNA-Ser
Rfam family: tRNA
About the family: Transfer RNA (tRNA) molecules are approximately 80 nucleotides in length.
Source: RNAcentral
GGAGAGGUGGAUGAGUGGUUUAAGUCGCACGCCUGGAAAGCGUGUGUAGGUGAAUAGCCUACCGGGGGUUCGAAUCCCCCUCUCUCCGCCA